This is a long non-coding RNA of Octopus sinensis (East Asian common octopus), 665 nucleotides long. RefSeq lists it as uncharacterized. The record is from RefSeq and is a predicted model, not a curated record. NCBI's taxonomy places the organism in Eukaryota, Metazoa, Mollusca, Cephalopoda, Octopoda, Octopodidae. The transcript is spliced from 3 exons.
AAAUAAAGAUAAAGAAAGUUUCUUUUUAAAUGUAAAACUUGGAAAUAUUUAUUUCAGAGGCUCCAAAGUUUGAGGACAGGUGUGUACAAACAGAGGCUAUAUGUCAGGAAUUAGGGGCUGCAUCUCAGGCAAAUGAGUCUCGAAACCUGAAUGGGAAGUAUCUCAAAAGAGCAGCAGAGAAGUUAGGGAGCAACUGGCAGCAAGCAGGUAUUUUUCUAGGAGUUCCAGCAAUUGACCAGGAUAUUAUCAAGAACGAUUUUCCUCAUGACACAGUAAAACAGAGUUAUCAAAUGCUUUGUGAGUGGUUUAUAAAUUGUAAACCAGAGGAACGUACAGUUGAGACCCUCAGAAGAGGCCUUAAAGAUGCUGAGUGCUUUGCUGCCCUUGAGUAUCUCUCAUUAUAUGAACGGUGAAUUUCUGUGUAAAUUCUACUGUUGUUUACUCCCAGGUGAAUGCUGACCAAAGAGAGAGACCUUUGACCAAAGUAUAGAGAACCAAGAACCACAUUCUCCAAUUUGUCCUCCUUUACAAUGAUGAGGUGUGGAGUGCAGUGGAUUUAGCUACUAAUUCUAGCAGAUCUAUCUCUCACAUAAGAGAUACCCUUCACUGGUUUGGUUCCUUUGUUAGAAAUUAGCUUUUGAAAUAAAGAUAAACUUUGAAAUAUC